This 468-nucleotide ribosomal RNA is filed under the name uncultured bacterium. Its description in RNAcentral is "partial 16S ribosomal RNA". It matches the Rfam family "Bacterial small subunit ribosomal RNA", at positions 28 to 507 of the family's 1533-position model. The record is from RNAcentral.
GACGAACGCUGGCGGCGUGCUUAAUACAUGCCAGUCGAACGGAAAGGCCCUGCUUUUGUGGGGUGCUCGAGUGGCGAACGGGUGAGUAACACGUGAGUAACCUGCCCUUGACUUUGGGAUAACUUCAGGAAACUGGGGCUAAUACCGGAUAGGAGCUCCUGCUGCAUGGUGGGGGUUGGAAAGUUUCGGCGGUUGGGGAUGGACUCGCGGCUUAUCAGCUUGUUGGUGGGGUAGUGGCUUACCAAGGCUUUGACGGGUAGCCGGCCUGAGAGGGUGACCGGCCACAUUGGGACUGCGAUACGGCCCAGACUCCUACGGGAGGCAGCAGUGGGGAAUAUUGCACAAUGGGCGGAAGCCUGAUGCAGCAACGCCGCGUGCGGGAUGACGGCCUUCGGGUUGUAAACCGCUUUCGCCUGUGACGAAGCGUGAGUGACGGUAAUGGGUAAAGAAGCACCGGCUAACUACGUG